CAAUUUCGAGUGCAAGUGCCACAGUGUCAGCUAAAGAAACACAACUGCGGGUUUUCUGCAGAGCAAAAUGGUUCUGAAAUGUCACUGAAUAGCUCACAAAGGACGCCAAUCUACGACAACAGAGACAUAAGCAUAUAGGAGAAAGGGUCCACACAUCCUCCUUUCAAAGGUCACAGAAAGCUUGCUGCAGAUCAGGAAAUGUCUUCAGUUUCCAAAGCCUCUCAUAGCAUGUGGAGAAAAGAGAGAGAAAGGGAGAGAAGAGUCAUGGACCCUACUUUAUGGUUGCCAUGGAUGCAAGGUCAGCCUUCCACACUUGGAUCUACCAGCAGAGUUCAGACAGGUCAACGUGUGACCGGCUCAGGCCCUGGGGUUAAAAGUUCAAGCAGCUAUGGAAAAACCAAUAUGUCCACGCAGAGUAUGCUGUACAAUUUAUUUCAAUUUACAUCAAGCCAUGCAUAUAAAAUUUAGAUAAAUUCCAUUCAGAUCUGAUGUUGCCUGACACACAAUGUAUGCAAACAGAUGUCUGUGGGGCUUUUUCUGUGCUUUAGAAAACAACAUUAAAUUUAAAAAUAUGUCUCUGGGAUUUCUUUAUUGAAUUACAAAAUGAACAUAAUUUUAACUUAAAUGUUUUCAUUCUUUUUUCCAAUUUUUUUGUGUGGGGGUCUUAAUAAUUUCUCAGUUCUCAAUCUACUCUAUGUCAUAUUAAAGAGGAUAAUGUAUAUUUACAAAAAAAAAAAA
Molecule: long non-coding RNA, 738 nt
Filed under: Homo sapiens (human)
Lineage: Eukaryota; Metazoa; Chordata; Mammalia; Primates; Hominidae
Description: SKAP1 antisense RNA 2 (SKAP1-AS2)
Source: RNAcentral